This 227-nucleotide ribosomal RNA is filed under the name uncultured bacterium. RNAcentral describes it as "partial 16S ribosomal RNA". It matches the Rfam family "Bacterial small subunit ribosomal RNA", at positions 524 to 751 of the family's 1533-position model. The record is from RNAcentral.
UACGAAGGGUGCAAACGUUGCUCGGAAUCAUUGGGCGUAAAGCGCACGUAGGCGGCCUUGUAAGUCGGAUGUGAAAUCCCACGGCUUAACCGUGGAAGUGCAUCCGAAACUGCGAGGCUCGAGUAUGGAAGAGGGUCGCAGAAUUCCCGGUGUAGAGGUGAAAUUCGUAGAUAUCGGGAGGAAUACCAGUGGCGAAGGCGGCGACCUGGGCCAAUCUGACGCUGAGG